This 3729-nucleotide long non-coding RNA is filed under the name Homo sapiens (human). RNAcentral describes it as "HSALNT0028762". The record is from RNAcentral. Lineage: Eukaryota; Metazoa; Chordata; Mammalia; Primates; Hominidae.
CUGGCAUGGAUCUCUCUGUGUGGUUCAUGGGACUCGUGUGUUGUGCCCAGAAACCUCUUACACCAUGGUCAAAGAUUUCUCCAUGAAACACAGGAUUGACUUGGUGGUGUGUUCUCCAAAAGCCAACCCUCCCUGUCCUGAGCCCCAAUCUGGGCACUGGGAUCAGGACUAAUGUGUACACUCCAAGCAGAUGGGUAGUGAAGGAGCGGACUCAUAGUGCAUAGGGAAGUGGACUGGAACACUCCAGGACAUCCAUUCCCCGCUCAGAUCAUAGACCAUUAUCUGUGCAGUCAAUCAGACAAGGACUUGUACUGGAAAGGCCACCAUCACCCAAGGAGGAACCAGAGGAAGUCACAUCAGGAACACCUGGGGUGCCACAUAAACCCACAGUGGCCAAGGUGGACUUCUGUCCUUGUCUGUGUUUAUGAUAAUAGCCACAACAAAAGGACCUUUACCCAGUGGCUACUAUAUGUCAGGCACUGUACCAAGAACUCUACCCAUGAUAUCUUGUUAAUCCUCACAGCAACCUGUGGAAUUGGUGUUAUCAGCCCCCAAAACUGAGUUCCAGAGAGGGUAGAUGAGAACCUGCAAUCACACAGUAAGUGACAGUGCUGGAAUUUCAGCCUGAUUGUCCCAAAGCCUCUGUUCUUUUUACCCCACCAAACACACAAAUGCAGUUUCUUUUGUCAUUAGCCCAGUGCUUUUCCCUUGGAGUAGAUACAGUAGAUGCUGAUUUUUGCCUUCAUCAGCAAAAGUCUUUACCCCAGACACAUAACUGGAGAUCAGUCAUAGAACAGAGAGCACUAAUGUAGAAGGGCACAGGUCCCUUUGAUUACUGAACACUCAGGUCACUCGGAAGAGUGGAAGCCUCAUCAGAAACCUUCGGGUUUGACAGGACAUCUGUUUCCAGGAGCACGGUGGGUGUAAACAGAGCAGCUGCCAGCCUCUGUCCUGGUUGGGGUUUUGUGUUUGCUGGUUUUUCUUUUUUUUUUUUUUUAAACACAUUAUACUCUAUUAAAACCACCCCUAUUUGGCAUCAAAAGCAUUAAUAAAUCCCACAUAAGGCACAGUCCCUCCAGUGGUUAAUCAAUCCAUAAAAAUCUAUUUAGCACCUACUGUGUGUCCAGCAUUUCAAUCCCAUGACGUUGAUUAAAGCAGGAAGUAAGGAGUCACAGCUGCCAAAUUUUCACCAUGGCCACCGUGCUCUGUGAUGUGUCACAAAGGCAUUUGCCAAUCAUGCAAUCAACCAUUUACUGAGAACCUGCUUUGUUGCUCAACUCUGUGCUGGCGACUCUCAGGAAGACAGGGAAGGGCUACCUGGUUUCUGCCUGAGCAGCAAGUGAUGAAGGAGAGUGAGCGUAUGAGAGAGUAAGAGAGUGAGCCCAAUCGUGGACUGACCACACAAUUGACCCUGGUUUACUGUGAGAAAGGACACAGACUGUGAACACCAGGAGCUUGACUACAUUUCCCAGCGUCCUUUGGAGUGAGACUACAUCUCCCAGCAUCCUGGCAGUUAGACAAUUUUCUAGUCUCCUUUGCAGGGAUCUUGGAAGCCCCAUGUUGAAGGUGGCAGAGCAACAAAAAUUGAGGAAACCCUGAAUCCCUGAAUUACUAUUUGGAGAUGACCACCCACUAAUUCGGAACACUCAUUAUUGGGCUUUAGGAGAAUGAGAAGUUCUAUCAUGUUUGAGACUCCGUACAUCUUUGGAUUUGUUUUAACAGCUAGUUUUACCCUGGCUAACAUGGCAAUUGACAGCCUCUGAGAGGAGAUUUGGAGAAUCUGCUUUUUUAACAAGUACUCCAGGGGAGUUUGAGAAUCACUGCUGAAAGCCAAGGGGAGCCAGCCACCCAAGGAUUUAACGCUGACCAAGGAACACCACGCUAUUUGCAUUUUAGAAUGACAGCAAGGGAGCAGAACUCUGCCCCCUUCUUGUCUGCCAAGGAGAACAAUCUACUGACUCAAAAGAAAAAGAAAACUUUGGUAAGAGAAAAUUGAAGCUCUAGAUGAGUGAAAAGAUUCUAACAGCACCAAGCUGCCGUAAAUGAGCUCAAGUCUCCUGGCCAGGACAAAUUACACUCCAGGGAGUAGAGAGAACUCGCCUCUGAAGCUGUAAAGCCUCUGCUGAUAAUCUUUACAGAACAUGGAGACUGUGAAAGAAAUUGGAACGCUAGAAAUGGCAAAAUAUAGCUCUGAUUAGUAAAGAGGGGGAAAGCUUCUGCAAACUACAAAAGUGGGGCUAUCCUAUCCAUCCUCAUUAAAUUCCCUGAUCAGACUACUUAAGGCUGAGCUGUGAGUACGUGAAAAAUGGAGCAGAAUCCUCUAGAAGCCUGUGUGGGUUCUUUAAGAGCAAGCCACGACAAGGCAUUGGACCAGGAAGGAGAGAAAUGGGGCCUUUUCUGGCCAGGUGCUCUCACUGACUCCGGGUACAAGGAAGAAUACAAUAUGAUUCCUGUCCUCAAGUCCACAUGCCUGUGGAUACUAACCUUUACACAGACAACAUAAGAACUGAACAGGGUGGUAUUUAAUUAAGAUAAAAGAAGUAGCAAGAGUAACAAGUAAUAAGUGAGAAUAAGUAUUAAACUAUGUACUGACUUUGGGAGUACCCAGGCUCCAUUUUUAUGCCAAAUCUCUGGUGUUAAGGCAUAAAAGAUACUGUGUUUAGAACAUGUCCUGAAAGGGAACAUGUUCUAAAAAAAACACAAAACAGCAGAAAGGAUAACGUUCUGCUGCUGACUUGUGUUCAUUGUUCAACUUGUGGGCCACUAGGACUCUUGAAUCUUCUUUCUCCAUAUUUGCAUCUAAUUAGCAUUUGUGUAGUUGCUAUCUUUCCCUGAAAUGUUUCUUUCUCAACACUCAGUAUUGCCGUAACAAGAUGGGGAAACAGAGGAAAUAAUUUUUUUAAAUGUUCAAUUGAUUUCCUUUUUUAAAAAGACACCUUUAUUGAAUUAUUACAUAUCAUAAAAUUCAUCUGUUUUAUGUGUGCAACUCGAUGAAUUUUAGUAAAUUUACAGAGGUGUGCAGCCAUCACAACCAGCUUUAAAACAUUUCCAUUACCAGACAGAAUAAUUUAAGGGCACAAUCCAAUGAAUGUGGGCAUAUUUAACCUACUUGAGCAUGCAUUUCUGAAACUGUUGUACUUAAGAAAAUCUGUCAGCAAAUUUUGAGUUGCUUCAUGAUAUACUUUUGCAAGACAAAGCAAAAUGUGCAGAAGGAAGGAUCUGUGUGCCUGAAAUCCUAAGAAACCAUUAUCUAUUUUGCAGAUCACUUUAUUAAUAAACAGAUUAUUACAAAAGUAAUUAUCUUAGAGAUGACAAUGCCAUUAGCUAACCCAUGUUGUUGUCUAUUGGGACAUAUAAAAAGUCUUUUUAAUUUGCUCUUCAAAAAAUCACUUACACCCACAACACUACUUCAGUCAACAAAGUAAAUCUAGGUAUGGGAAAACCAUGGCAAAAACUUUUUGCCAUGCUUUACCUUUUUGUCUUUAAAAUUUAAUGUAUUCAUUUUCGUUCGGAUUCUCUUUUCUCUCUUGAUUCACUGGAGGAAGGAUUUCUCUGGUGAAAAGUACCCCAAUCUGAUGCCUUUGCAAAAGCAGUCACCCCUCUGGCAUGAAAGGCACCAUUCAAUCAUCCAAACUCUUAGAGGUGAAGGGUACACUGAAUAAUGAGUGCUAAGAUGGUGUCUAUUGUAUUAUAAAUACCCAUUUUAGAAAACCCAAUAGUCAGAAAGUU